Long non-coding RNA from Oncorhynchus keta (chum salmon), 631 nucleotides. RefSeq lists it as uncharacterized. NCBI's taxonomy places the organism in Eukaryota, Metazoa, Chordata, Actinopteri, Salmoniformes, Salmonidae. The transcript has 3 exons. The record is from RefSeq and is a predicted model, not a curated record.
CUGAACACCAGGUCAGAGAGAGAGAACUGAACGCCAGGUCAGAGAGAGAGAGAACUGAACGCCAGGUCAGAGAGAGAGAGAACUGAACACCAGGUCAGAGAGAGAGAGAACUGAACGCCAGGUCAGAGAGAGAGAGAACUGAACGCCAGGUCAGAGAGAGAGAGAACUGAACACCAGGUCAGAGAGAGAGAACUGAACGCCAGGUCAGGGUGAGAACUGAACACCAGGUCAGAGAGACAGAACUGAACACCAGGUCAGACAGAGAACUGAACGCCAGGUCAGAGAGAGAGAAAUGAACACCAGAACUGAACACCAGGUCAGAGAGAGAGAACUGAACACCAGGUCAGAGAGAGAGAACUGAACGCCAGGUCAGAGAGAGAGAGAACUGAACGCCAGGUCAGAGAGAGAGAACUGAACGCCAGGUCAGAGAGAGAGAACUGAACGCCAGGUCAGAGAGAGAAAACUGAACACCAGGUCAGAGAGAGAGAGAGAACUGAACGCCAGGUCAGAGAGAGAAAACUGAACGCCAGGUCAGAGAGAGAGAACUGAACGCCAGGUCAGGGAGAGAACUUAACACCAGGUCAGAGAGAGAGAACUGAACACCAGGUCAGAGAGAGAGAACUGAACGCCA